Long non-coding RNA from Harmonia axyridis, 1117 nucleotides. RefSeq lists it as uncharacterized. The transcript has 2 exons. The record is from RefSeq and is a predicted model, not a curated record. NCBI's taxonomy places the organism in Eukaryota, Metazoa, Arthropoda, Insecta, Coleoptera, Coccinellidae.
AAUGGGCUGCGGGAGCACAGAUGAUAGAUGGUAUUGAUUGUCAAACAAGUUAUUAUAUUCACAUAGAUAGAUGUUCAACAAUUAGAAAACAGAUGCAGGAAUUUAACUUUAUUUUCUUCAAUGAAGGAUUUUAUGGAUUUUCGACUUUUUCCUUUUAUCACCAACUUCUUCAAAUAGCCUGGAAGCUCGUUAUAGAUUUUUGGUAGAAAGCAAGAUGAUGAAUGAAUCGACAAAAAUUUAGUUCUUGGUUGAUCUGCUAUGGUUGGGGAAAAUGUCAUGAAAUUUGUUUUAUUAUAAUUCAAGCUGAGCUUACUCCCUGUCAGCCAUCGACACACAUCACCAAGACCAUGCUCCGUUCGCACAUAUACUUCACUCCAAGUAUCAGCCGAGAACAAGAGGACUGUAUCAUCCGCAUAUGAAAUGACCUUACAUUCUCUUAUUAGGUUCCCAAUUUCAUUAACAUAAACAAGGAACAGCAAAGGGCCUAAGACCGUUCCUUGUGGGACUCCAGUGUUAAUGGCGGCAUAAUCGCUGUAAACAUUAUUUAUUUGUACUCUUUGCUUUCGGUCAGUUAGAUAGUUUUUCAAAAGAAGCAGUGGAGAUCCCCGUAUACCCAAAUUCUCCAGUCUCUCAAAUAGUAUUUCAUGUUUCACCGAGUCAAACGCCUUAGAUAAAUCAAAAAAGAACGCUAAAGUUUUUUUACUGUUACUAUGCUGUUUGUAAAUACUACUGAUAAAUUCAAAAAUUGCAUCUUCCGUAGACAUAUUUUUUCUAAAUCCAAAUUGACAGUUAGUUAAAAUUUUGUUUUUUUCAAAAACAUUUUCAAUUCGCAUCUUUAUACACUUUUUGAACCCUUUGGCAAAGUUAUUAAUUAAUGAUAUGGGCCUAUAAUUUGUUGGUAGACAUUUAUCUCCUGACUUAAAAACUGGCGUAACUAUGGAAACCUCCCAUGCAUCUGGAAUUGAGUUCGAUUCUAUACAUUUAUUAUAUAUAUGGAGCAAUGGACUUAUUAACAUUUUAUGAUAACGCUGAAUUAUAUCUGCAGUAACUCCAUCAUCUCCAGGAGAUGACCGAGGUUUAAGAGAUCUUAUAUGCAGGAUCAAUUCAUUUUCAGUAA